GACGAACGCUGGCGGCGUGCUUAACACAUGCAAGUCGAACGAUGAAGCCUAGCUUGCUAGGUGGAUUAGUGGCGAACGGGUGAGUAAUACGUGAGUAACCUACCUUUAACUCUGGGAUAAGCCUGGGAAACUGGGUCUAAUACCGGAUACGACCAAUCUCCGCAUGGGGUGUUGGUGGAAAGCGUUAUGUAGUGGUUAUAGAUGGGCUCACGGCCUAUCAGCUUGUUGGUGAGGUAACGGCUCACCAAGGCGACGACGGGUAGCCGGCCUGAGAGGGUGACCGGCCACACUGGGACUGAGACACGGCCCAGACUCCUACGGGAGGCAGCAGUGGGGAAUAUUGUACAAUGGGCGCAAGCCUGAUGCAGCGACGCCGCGUGAGGGAUGACGGCCUUCGGGUUGUAAACCUCUGUUAGCAGGGAAGAAGAGAGAUUGACGGUACCUGCAGAGAAAGCGCCGGCUAACUACGUGCCAGCAGCCGCGGUAAUACGUAGGGCGCGAGCGUUGUCCGGAAUUAUUGGGCGUAAAGAGCUUGUAGGCGGUUUGUCGCGUCUGCUGUGAAAGGCCGGAGCUUAACUCCGUGUAUUGCAGUGGGUACGGGCAGACUAGAGUGCAGUAGGGGAGACUGGAAUUCCUGGUGUAGCGGUGGAAUGCGCAGAUAUCAGGAGGAACACCGAUGGCGAAGGCAGGUCUCUGGGCUGUAACUGACGCUGAGAAGCGAAAGCAUGGGGAGCGAACAGG
RNAcentral lists this ribosomal RNA (741 nucleotides) under Rothia mucilaginosa. RNAcentral's name for it is "bacterial SSU rRNA". It matches the Rfam family "Bacterial small subunit ribosomal RNA", at positions 28 to 776 of the family's 1533-position model. Lineage: Bacteria; Bacillati; Actinomycetota; Actinomycetes; Micrococcales; Micrococcaceae. The record is from RNAcentral.